This 371-nucleotide ribosomal RNA is filed under the name uncultured bacterium. Its description in RNAcentral is "bacterial SSU rRNA". It matches the Rfam family "Bacterial small subunit ribosomal RNA", at positions 527 to 898 of the family's 1533-position model. The record is from RNAcentral.
GAAGGGGGCUAGCGUUGCUCGGAAUUACUGGGCGUAAAGGGAGCGUAGGCGGAUAGUUCAGUCAGAGGUGAAAGCCCAGGGCUCAACCUUGGAACUGCCUUUGAUACUGGCUAUCUUGAGUUUGGGAGAGGUGUGUGGAACUCCGAGUGUAGAGGUGAAAUUCGUAGAUAUUCGGAAGAACACCAGUGGCGAAGGCGACACACUGGCCCAAUACUGACGCUGAGGCUCGAAAGCGUGGGGAGCAAACAGGAUUAGAUACCCUGGUAGUCCACGCCGUAAACGAUGAGUGCUAGUUGUCGGCAGGCAUGCCUGUCGGUGACGCAGCUAACGCAUUAAGCACUCCGCCUGGGGAGUACGGUCGCAAGAUUAAA